RNAcentral lists this ribosomal RNA (253 nucleotides) under uncultured bacterium. Its description in RNAcentral is "partial 16S ribosomal RNA". It matches the Rfam family "Bacterial small subunit ribosomal RNA", at positions 524 to 776 of the family's 1533-position model. The record is from RNAcentral.
UACAGAGGUCUCAAGCGUUGUUCGGAUUCAUUGGGCGUAAAGGGUGCGUAGGUGGCGCCAUAAGUCAGGUGUGAAAUCUCGGGGCUCAACCCCGAAACUGCAUUUGAUACUGUGGUGCUCGAGUACUGGAGAGGAGAUUGGAAUUUACGGUGUAGCAGUGAAAUGCGUAGAUAUCGUAAGGAAGACCAGUGGCGAAGGCGAAUCUCUGGACAUUUCCCGACGCUGAGGAGCGAAAGCGUGGGGAGCGAACAGG